This 274-nucleotide long non-coding RNA is filed under the name Rattus norvegicus (Norway rat). RNAcentral's name for it is "long non-coding RNA NONRATT012616". The record is from RNAcentral. Lineage: Eukaryota; Metazoa; Chordata; Mammalia; Rodentia; Muridae.
GACCCACCAACAUGCUCUCAGCCAGACAGUGGUGACGAAGCAGAGGAAACACAGUGGUCCGAUGAUGAGAGCACAGCCACACUUACGGUAAGAGCACAGCCGCACAACAUGGGGCAGCCUCACACUGUCACGUGAGAGGACUACGUGCCUACCUCUGGCUUGACAGGUUUGCCUGGGUAGCUUGCUGUCUGUGUGGUCACUUGCCUUUGUAAGAAAUAACUUGUCACUGUUUGACAGCAAGCACUGUUUGCCUGCUUUCCCCUCUACUCACAAA